RNAcentral lists this ribosomal RNA (403 nucleotides) under uncultured bacterium. Its description in RNAcentral is "partial 16S ribosomal RNA". It matches the Rfam family "Bacterial small subunit ribosomal RNA", at positions 30 to 526 of the family's 1533-position model. The record is from RNAcentral.
AUUGAACGCUGGCGGCAGGCCUAACACAUGCAAGUCGAGCGAGCGGCGGACGGGUGAGUAAUGUAUGGGGACUGCCCGAUAGAGGGGGAUAACUACUGGAAACGGUAGCUAAUACCGCAUACUAUCGGAUAACCCAUAUGGGAUUAGCUAGUAGGUGAGGUAAUGGCUCACCUAGGCGACGAUCCCUAGCUGGUCUGAGAGUGUGUACAGCCACACUGGAGUGGUGAACCGGCCCAGACUCCUACGGAGGCGGCAGUGGGGAAUAUUGCACACUGGGGGCAAGCCUGAUGCAGCAAUGCCGCGUGUAUGAAGAAGGCCCUAGGGUUGUAAAAUACUUGCAGUCGGGAGGCGGUACCGACAGAAGAAGCACCGGCUAACUCCGUGCCAGCAGCCGCGGUAAUAC